UGGGGAGUUUGGCUGGGG
This 18-nucleotide small nuclear RNA is filed under the name Arabidopsis thaliana (thale cress). Its description in RNAcentral is "snRNA_16012". The record is from RNAcentral. Lineage: Eukaryota; Viridiplantae; Streptophyta; Magnoliopsida; Brassicales; Brassicaceae.